GAAACUGAGGAUAAUACUGGAUAGGCAAUUAUUCCUGCAAUGGUUUUUUGUUUAAAUGUUUUUUCGCCUAAGGAUGGGUCUGCGGCCGAUUAGGUAGUUGGUUAGGUAAUGGCUUACCAAGCCGUUGAUCGGUACGGGUUGUGAGAGCAAGAGCCCGGAGAUGGAACCUGAGACAAGGUUCCAGGCCCUACGGGGUGCAGCAGGCGCGAAACCUCCGCAAUGUGAGAAAUCGCGACGGGGGGAUCCCAAGUGCCAUUCUUAACGGGAUGGCUUUUCAUUAGUGUAAAGAGCUUUUGGAAUAAGGGCUGGGCAAGACCGGUGCCAGCCGCCGCGGUAACACCGGCAGCUCUAGUGGUAGCAGUUUUUAUUGGGCCUAAAGCGUCCGUAGCCGGUUUAAUAAGUCUCUGGUGAAAUCCUGUAGCUUAACUGUGGGAAUUGCUGGAGAUACUAUUAGACUUGAGACCGGGAGAGGUUAGAGGUACUCCCAGGGUAGAGGUGAAAUUCUGUAAUCCUGGGAGGACCGCCUGUUGCGAAGGCGUCUAACUGGAACGGUUCUGACGGUGAGGGACGAAAGUUAGGGGCGCGAACCGGAUUAGAUACCCGGGUAGUCCUAACCGUAAACGAUGCGGACUUGGUGUUGGGGUGGCUUUGAGCUGCUCCAGUGCCGAAGGGAAGCUGUUAAGUCCGCCGCCUGGGAAGUACGGUCGCAAGACUGAAACUUAA
This 723-nucleotide ribosomal RNA is filed under the name uncultured archaeon. RNAcentral describes it as "bacterial SSU rRNA". It matches the Rfam family "Archaeal small subunit ribosomal RNA", at positions 136 to 859 of the family's 1478-position model. The record is from RNAcentral.